Molecule: ribosomal RNA, 390 nt
Filed under: Erwinia billingiae
Lineage: Bacteria; Pseudomonadati; Pseudomonadota; Gammaproteobacteria; Enterobacterales; Erwiniaceae
Description: bacterial SSU rRNA
Rfam family: Bacterial small subunit ribosomal RNA
Source: RNAcentral
CUUACCUGGCCUUGACAUCCACGGAAUUCGGCAGAGAUGCCUUAGUGCCUUCGGGAACCGUGAGACAGGUGCUGCAUGGCUGUCGUCAGCUCGUGUUGUGAAAUGUUGGGUUAAGUCCCGCAACGAGCGCAACCCUUAUCCUUUGUUGCCAGCGAGUAAUGUCGGGAACUCAAAGGAGACUGCCGGUGACAAACCGGAGGAAGGUGGGGAUGACGUCAAGUCAUCAUGGCCCUUACGGCCAGGGCUACACACGUGCUACAAUGGCGCAUACAAAGAGAAGCGAACUCGCGAGAGCAAGCGGACCUCACAAAGUGCGUCGUAGUCCGGAUCGGAGUCUGCAACUCGACUCCGUGAAGUCGGAAUCGCUAGUAAUCGUAGAUCAGAAUGCUA